Long non-coding RNA from Coregonus clupeaformis (lake whitefish), 240 nucleotides. RefSeq lists it as uncharacterized. NCBI's taxonomy places the organism in Eukaryota, Metazoa, Chordata, Actinopteri, Salmoniformes, Salmonidae. The record is from RefSeq and is a predicted model, not a curated record. The transcript has 2 exons.
GCAGGUGCUGAGGGAUCCAGUCUCUAUCACCUGUGGACACAGGUUCUGCAGACAGUGCAUCACCAGAUACUGGGAGAAACCUGCUCCUUCAGGAGACUAUGACUGUCCUCAGUGUAGAAAGAGAUCCAGAACACGGCCUGUACUACAGCAGCUGAGUCAACCCAAUAAAACAAGAGGCUCUGAAAACAGGAAGACCACUUGCACACUGGAUGACAGCCUGCAGAGAGCUAUAGUAAACCA